CUACGGGAGGCAGCAGUGAGGAAUUUUGCGCAAUGGGGGAAACCCUGACGCAGCAACGCCGCGUGAGCGAAGAAGGCCUUCGGGUCGUAAAGCUCUGUCAAGUGGGAAAAAAAUUCUUUGAUGAACAGUCAAAGGACUUGAUGGUACCACUGGAGGAAGCACCGGCUAACUCCGUGCCAGCAGCCGCGGUAAUACGGAGGGUGCAAGCGUUGUUCGGAAUUACUGGGCGUAAAGAGCGUGUAGGCGGUUUGACAAGUCAGAUGUGAAAGCCCCGGGCUCAACCCUGGAAGUGCAUUUGAAACUGUUUCACUAGAGUAUGGGAGAGGAGAUUGGAAUUCCUGGUGUAGAGGUGAAAUUCGUAGAUAUCAGGAGGAACACCCGUGGCGAAGGCGAUUCUCUGGACCAAUACUGACGCUGUGACGCGAAAGCGUGGGGAGCAAACAGGAUUAGAUACCCGUGUAGUC
RNAcentral lists this ribosomal RNA (464 nucleotides) under uncultured bacterium. RNAcentral describes it as "partial 16S ribosomal RNA". It matches the Rfam family "Bacterial small subunit ribosomal RNA", at positions 339 to 795 of the family's 1533-position model. The record is from RNAcentral.